This 262-nucleotide ribosomal RNA is filed under the name uncultured archaeon. RNAcentral describes it as "partial 16S ribosomal RNA". It matches the Rfam family "Archaeal small subunit ribosomal RNA", at positions 748 to 1009 of the family's 1478-position model. The record is from RNAcentral.
CAGCCCUAAACGAUGCGCGUUAGGUGUAUCGGUGACCACGAGUCACCGAGGUGCCGAAGGGAAACCGUGAAACGUGCCGCCUGGGAAGUACGGUCGCAAGGCUGAAACUUAAAGGAAUUGGCGGGGGAGCACCGCAACGGGAGGAGCGUGCGGUUCAAUUGGAUUCAACGCCGGACAACUCACCAGGAGCGACGGUUACAUGAAGGCCAGGCUGAUGACCUUGCCUGAUUUUUCCGAGAGGAGGUGCAUGGCGUAGUCGUGU